RNAcentral lists this ribosomal RNA (104 nucleotides) under uncultured bacterium. RNAcentral describes it as "partial 16S ribosomal RNA". The record is from RNAcentral.
UACACACCGCCCGUCACAUCACGAAAGCCCGUUGUACUACGAAGCCCGGUAAUUCAACCGCAAGGGAGAUACGCCGUCCAAGGUAUGACUGGUGAUUGGGUCGG